UACGGAGGGGGCUAGCGUUUGUUCGGAAUUACUGGGCGUAAAGCGCACGUAGGCGGCUUUGCAAGUUAGAGGUGAAAGCCCAGGGCUUAACCCUGGAAUUGCCUUUAAAACUGCAUCGCUAGAAUUGUGGAGAGGUAAGUGGAAUUCCGAGUGUAGAGGUGAAAUUCGUAGAUAUUCGGAAGAACACCAGUGGCGAAGGCGACUUACUGGA
Molecule: ribosomal RNA, 211 nt
Filed under: uncultured bacterium
Lineage: Bacteria
Description: partial 16S ribosomal RNA
Rfam family: Bacterial small subunit ribosomal RNA
Source: RNAcentral